Molecule: ribosomal RNA, 253 nt
Filed under: uncultured bacterium
Lineage: Bacteria
Description: partial 16S ribosomal RNA
Rfam family: Bacterial small subunit ribosomal RNA
Source: RNAcentral
UACGGAGGGGGUUAGCGUUGUUCGGAAUUACUGGGCGUAAAGCGCGCGUAGGCGGACUAUUAAGUCAGGGGUGAAAUCCCGGGUCUCAACCCCGGAACGGCCCUUGAUACUGGCAGUCUUGAGAUCGAGAGAGGUGAGUGGAAUUCCGAGUGUAGAGGUGAAAUUCGUAGAUAUUCGGAAGAACAUCAGUGGCGAAGGCGGCUCACUGGCUCGAUACUUACGCUGAGGUGCGAAAGUGUGGGGAUCAAACAGG